GUGGGGAAUUUUGGACAAUGGGCGAAAGCCUGAUCCAGCAAUGCCGCGUGUGUGAAGAAGGCCUUCGGGUUGUAAAGCACUUUUGGCAGGGAAGAAACAGUGCGUGCUAAUACCAUGCGCGAAUGACGGUACCUGCAGAAUAAGCACCGGCUAACUACGUGCCAGCAGCCGCGGUAAUACGUAGGGUGCAAGCGUUAAUCGGAAUUACUGGGCGUAAAGCGUGCGCAGGCGGCUUUGUAAGACGGAUGUGAAAGCCCCGGGCUCAACCUGGGAAGUGCAUUCGUGACUGCAAGGCUAGAGUGUGUCAGAGGGAGGUGGAAUUCCGCGUGUAGCAGUGAAAUGCGUAGAGAUGCGGGGGAACACCGAUGGCGAAGGCAGCCUCCUGGGAUAACACUGACGCUCAGGCACGAAAGCGUGGGGAGCAAACAGGAUUAGAAACCCGAGUAGUCU
This 450-nucleotide ribosomal RNA is filed under the name uncultured bacterium. RNAcentral describes it as "partial 16S ribosomal RNA". It matches the Rfam family "Bacterial small subunit ribosomal RNA", at positions 354 to 796 of the family's 1533-position model. The record is from RNAcentral.